Acipenser ruthenus (sterlet) is the source of this 1112-nucleotide long non-coding RNA. RefSeq lists it as uncharacterized. The record is from RefSeq and is a predicted model, not a curated record. The transcript has 3 exons. Lineage: Eukaryota; Metazoa; Chordata; Actinopteri; Acipenseriformes; Acipenseridae.
AGAGCUCUUUCUGCUGCUUACAGAGUCAGCUUCACUCUGAUUAUGUUCAUUUGGCUCACUCUGCUGCUCCUCCAAUACUUCAGGAUCCAAGGUUCCCUGUGUUUUGCUGUUGCUGAGGCAAGGAAAACCCCGGAUCAGGAUCAGGAGCAGGAUCAGGAGUCAUCAGAGGGAAUUGAACUCAACAGCCGUGUGCCUUAGCCUGGAUUCAACCGGAUUAGUGUUGCACUGUCCUGAUGAAGACUGGUCUGACCGGUACUAUACCAGUCAGACCGGUGUCCCGACAUUGAGCUGUCUCGAUAAAAACUGGUCUGAUUUGAAUAACGUUGCACUGUCCUGAUGAAGACCAGUCUGAUUUGAGCAGCUUUAUUCUUGAGUGUUUCCUGUUAAAAAUAUUCCAUAGUAAAUAAGCUUGCUGAGGUUGCCUGCUUUAUAACAAUGGCCUCUAUUCAUCAAUAUGUUGCUCCCUAAAAAACUCCCUCUUCUGAAUGGAUUUAGAAUGAUUUGAGCACAGUUUCUGAAUCAUCAAAGGAGUGUUUCAGUUUCCUGAUAACUGUGUGAUGUCAUUUCACAUUGUGUGAUGUCAUUUCAUACCAGAAUGUGACUGUUUUUGACAUUCAGUGAAUUGAUCUCUUCUACCACACGUUUACCUCGUCUGAAACAGUCCCUCAGCUCAAAUUCAGGGGUUUUCUAAACAGCAGCAUUGUGAUGAAUAGGAGCCGAUAGACGUUUUGAAGGGGCUGCAGUUCUGCAAAAUGAAACUAUUUUUUUCAGCGUAAUGAUUGUUAUUGAGGUUUUGGUCAGGCUGGUGAAGAUUGUUUUGUUUUUGAGAUUUUGAGAUUUUCGUGUGUGACAAUAUUUUCUAUUAAGCAUAUAGUGAUAAGAUUUGCUUCAUAUUAACGCAGGAUAAAAAUGUUCUAGAGACCUAUUGAUCUACUUCACUGAUGUCUUAAUGGGGGUGUCUGUGCUGGACACUAGAGGGCAGUGUAGAGUCAUACCCUUCCCAGUAAUUAAUGAAUGCCCUGAGGAUAUAUCCGUGAUCCUCUUAGAAUCCCCCCCUCCCCACCUUCCUACAACUCAGUCAGAUGAGAAUGCGGAUGCAAAUUUGUUUUAAU